RNAcentral lists this transfer RNA (79 nucleotides) under Xanthobacteraceae bacterium. RNAcentral describes it as "tRNA-Pro". It matches the Rfam family "tRNA". Rfam says of the family: Transfer RNA (tRNA) molecules are approximately 80 nucleotides in length. The record is from RNAcentral. Lineage: Bacteria; Pseudomonadati; Pseudomonadota; Alphaproteobacteria; Hyphomicrobiales; Xanthobacteraceae.
CAGGGUGUAGGGGAGCCCAGUCGUCCCCGCCUGCCUUGGAAGCAGGAGAACGUUGGUGCGAAUCCAACCACCCUGACCA